Molecule: ribosomal RNA, 660 nt
Filed under: Triticum aestivum (bread wheat)
Lineage: Eukaryota; Viridiplantae; Streptophyta; Magnoliopsida; Poales; Poaceae
Description: partial small subunit ribosomal RNA
Source: RNAcentral
AUGGAAGCGUGUAUAUAUCACGAGGUGAUCGAGGUGCCAUUGUACACUCUCACAACGCAGCCAGCCAUCGAGUUCAAAGGCAGGCAAUCUACAGCGCUCGAUCUUGUGUUUCUCUGCGAGAAGCCAACGCAGCUCUGGCACGCAGGCAGAAGGAUGAAGAAGGGUGGCGGGAAAACCAGCGGGUGCUUCUUCUGCCUCGGCGCGCCGAUGCGCGCGCUGUCCAGAGCGUGCGACCUCUACGUGAGCUGCAUGUCCGGAUGCGCGCGCCGCAUGCCAGCGGGGGCGGUCGUGGGUGGCCGCGGCCCCGGCGGCUUCGGCGGGCCGGCCACGACCAUGCACCUGCGGGCGAGCUCGGACCGCGCCGAUGAUCUUGUCCGCGCAGCGUCGAAACAGCGCCGCGUCGCGCCCGAGCCGGCGGACAUCGGGGCAGCGGAGAAGAAGGUCCACGUUAGCCUGGCGCCUGCGGCCGUCCCGGCGCGGAGGAAGCGCCCGGCGACGAUGGUGACCAUCGCUGAGGACGGGCCGUGCGAGUUCCGCGCCUGCCCGCUGAAACGGCCAGAGCAGAGGACUCGCGGCGCGGCGGUGGGCGGACUGGCCGCGCGCGGCGGUGGUUUUGGUGCCAUCAAGGUGGGGAGCGAAGCCUUCGAGAGCCGAGCGUGA